Molecule: ribosomal RNA, 509 nt
Filed under: uncultured bacterium
Lineage: Bacteria
Description: bacterial SSU rRNA
Rfam family: Bacterial small subunit ribosomal RNA
Source: RNAcentral
GGUUCAGGAUGAACGCUAGCUACAGGCUUAACACAUGCAAGUCGAGGGGCAUCAUGAUCAAAGCUUGCUUGAUGAUGGCGACCGGCGCACGGGUGCGUAACGCGUAUCCAACCUGCCGUGUACUCCGGGAUAGCCCUCUGAAAGGAGGAUUAAUACCGGAUGUGGUCGAGUUGAGACAUCUCUUCUCGAUUAAAGAUUUAUCGGUACACCGAUGGGGAUGCGUACGAUUAGGUAGUCGGCGGGGUAACGGCCCACCGAGCCUGCGAUCGUUAGGGGUUCUGAGAGGAAGGUCCCCCACAUAGGAACUGAGACACGGUCCUAACUCCUACGGGAGGCAGCAGUGAGGAAUAUUGGUCAAUGGGCGAGAGCCUGAACCAGCCAAGUAGCGUGAAGGAUGAACCUGCCCUACGGGUUGUAAACUUCUUUUAUGCGGGAAUAACCGCCACUACGCGUAGUGGCCUGCAUGUACCGCAUGAAUAAGCAUCGGCUAAUUCCGUGCCAGCAGCAGC